RNAcentral lists this ribosomal RNA (1382 nucleotides) under uncultured bacterium. RNAcentral describes it as "bacterial SSU rRNA". It matches the Rfam family "Bacterial small subunit ribosomal RNA", at positions 18 to 1395 of the family's 1533-position model. The record is from RNAcentral.
CCUGGCUCAGGAUGAACGCUAGCUACAGGCUUAACACAUGCAAGUCGAGGGGCAGCAUGGUCUUAGCUUGCUAAGGCCGAUGGCGACCGGCGCACGGGUGAGUAACACGUAUCCAACCUGCCGUCUACUCUUGGACAGCCUUCUGAAAGGAAGAUUAAUACAAGAUGGCAUCAUGAGUCCGCAUGUUCGCAUGAUUAAAGGUAUUCCGGUAGACGAUGGGGAUGCGUUCCAUUAGAUAGUAGGCGGGGUAACGGCCCACCUAGUCUUCGAUGGAUAGGGGUUCUGAGAGGAAGGUCCCCCACAUUGGAACUGAGACACGGUCCAAACUCCUACGGGAGGCAGCAGUGAGGAAUAUUGGUCAAUGGGCGAGAGCCUGAACCAGCCAAGUAGCGUGAAGGAUGACUGCCCUAUGGGUUGUAAACUUCUUUUAUAAAGGAAUAAAGUCGGGUAUGGAUACCCGUUUGCAUGUACUUUAUGAAUAAGGAUCGGCUAACUCCGUGCCAGCAGCCGCGGUAAUACGGAGGAUCCGAGCGUUAUCCGGAUUUAUUGGGUUUAAAGGGAGCGUAGAUGGAUGUUUAAGUCAGUUGUGAAAGUUUGCGGCUCAACCGUAAGAUUGCAGUUGAUACUGGAUAUCUUGAGUGCAGUUGAGGCAGGCGGAAUUCGUGGUGUAGCGGUGAAAUGCUUAGAUAUCACGAAGAACUCCGAUUGCGAAGGCAGCCUGCUAAGCUGCAACUGACAUUGAGGCUCGAAAGUGUGGGUAUCAAACAGGAUUAGAUACCCUGGUAGUCCACACGGUAAACGAUGAAUACUCGCUGUUUGCGAUAUACUGCAAGCGGCCAAGCGAAAGCGUUAAGUAUUCCACCUGGGGAGUACGCCGGCAACGGUGAAACUCAAAGGAAUUGACGGGGGCCCGCACAAGCGGAGGAACAUGUGGUUUAAUUCGAUGAUACGCGAGGAACCUUACCCGGGCUUAAAUUGCAGAUGAAUUACGGUGAAAGCCGUAAGCCGCAAGGCAUCUGUGAAGGUGCUGCAUGGUUGUCGUCAGCUCGUGCCGUGAGGUGUCGGCUUAAGUGCCAUAACGAGCGCAACCCUUGUUGUCAGUUACUAACAGGUUCCGCUGAGGACUCUGACAAGACUGCCAUCGUAAGAUGUGAGGAAGGUGGGGAUGACGUCAAAUCAGCACGGCCCUUACGUCCGGGGCUACACACGUGUUACAAUGGGGGGUACAGAGGGCCGCUACCACGCGAGUGGAUGCCAAUCCCCAAAACCUCUCUCAGUUCGGACUGGGGUCUGCAACCCGACUCCACGAAGCUGGAUUCGCUAGUAAUCGCGCAUCAGCCACGGCGCGGUGAAUACGUUCCCGGGCCUUGUACACACCGCCC